This 351-nucleotide long non-coding RNA is filed under the name Prunus dulcis (almond). RNAcentral's name for it is "sRNA ncRNA". The record is from RNAcentral. Lineage: Eukaryota; Viridiplantae; Streptophyta; Magnoliopsida; Rosales; Rosaceae.
GCCAUCUUGGUCAGCCUCCAUCUAAAACCCAGACUCUGUCAUGGCCAAAUACUCGAAACAGCUACCACACACGAGCUGCACUAAAGAUCCCUUUUCCAUCAUACACCACUAGAUCAUUUUUGUUCUCAAUACCAAGAGCAGAAACAGUAGCAGCAAAGGCUUCCUUUUUGUAGUGUGAUAUGAUAUUCCAUCUACAUCAAAGAAAAGUGCACCAGGAAUGUAAGCAACCUAAUACUCUUGAAUUGGAUUCCUUUGCUCAUCAGGCAUGUACCAAGAGGCAUCCAACACCUUCAGAUAUGGCUCCUUAAGGUUAGCAUAGCCAAUCAACAUAAACAACAGGAACAUUUGCAG